GAGUUUGAUCCUGGCUCAGGACGAACGCUGGCGGCGUGCUUAACACAUGCAAGUCGAACGAAGCUUGAUGAUUGAUUUCUUCGGAAAGAAAUUUGAUAUGACUGAGUGGCGGACGGGUGAGUAACGCGUGAGCAACCUGCCCUUCAGAGGGGGAUAGCGUCUGGAAACGGACGGUAAUACCGCAUAACGUACAAAGGCCGCAUGACCAUUGUACCAAAACUGAGGUGCUGAAGGAUGGGCUCGCGUUGGAUUAGAUAGUUGGUGGGGUAACGGCCUACCAAGUCGACGAUCCAUAGCCGGACUGAGAGGUUGAACGGCCACAUUGGGACUGAGACACGGCCCAGACUCCUACGGGAGGCAGCAGUGGGGAAUAUUGCACAAUGGGGGAAACCCUGAUGCAGCAACGCCGCGUGAAGGAAGACGGUUUUCGGAUUGUAAACUUCUGUUCUUAGUGAAGAUAGUGACGGUAGCUAAGGAGCAAGCCACGGCUAACUACGUGCCAGCAGCCGCGGUAAUAC
This 518-nucleotide ribosomal RNA is filed under the name uncultured bacterium. RNAcentral describes it as "bacterial SSU rRNA". It matches the Rfam family "Bacterial small subunit ribosomal RNA", at positions 9 to 526 of the family's 1533-position model. The record is from RNAcentral.